Molecule: ribosomal RNA, 348 nt
Filed under: Triticum aestivum (bread wheat)
Lineage: Eukaryota; Viridiplantae; Streptophyta; Magnoliopsida; Poales; Poaceae
Description: partial small subunit ribosomal RNA
Source: RNAcentral
AUGACACUUAGGAACCAUGAAAGGGUCAUCCUUUUUGCAGCUUACAGAUAUGUCUUUCACUGUAAUGAUCCGUUGGAGGCGGAAUUACAUGCGAUGAUGCAAGGCAUGGCGUUGGCCAUUGAGCACUCCGAGGCCCCGGUGUUUCUUCAAUCGGAUUCUUCCGAAGCUCUAUCAUGUCUGGCUUCGGAUGCCCUCCAACGUUCUGCUUAUGGCCAUUUAGUGAAGGAGAUCAAACACUUAUCUGGUAUUAGGGAGUUUAUUCCUCAGAAACUUAGUCGUGUCAGAAUAGAGUUGCCGAUCGGCUGGCUAACUACAGCCGUACGAAGCGUGCUACUGCUGUGUGGCUAG